RNAcentral lists this ribosomal RNA (207 nucleotides) under uncultured bacterium. RNAcentral describes it as "partial 16S ribosomal RNA". It matches the Rfam family "Bacterial small subunit ribosomal RNA", at positions 524 to 730 of the family's 1533-position model. The record is from RNAcentral.
UACGUAGGGCGCAAGCGUUAUCCGGAAUUAUUGGGCGUAAAGAGCUCGUAGGCGGUUUGUCGCGCCUGCCGUGACAGUCCGGGGCUCAACUCCGGAUCUGCGGUGGGUACGGGCAGACUAGAGUGAUGUAGGGGAGACUGGAAUUCCGGGUGUAGCGGUGAAAUGCGCAGAUAUCAGGAGGAACACCGAUGGCGAAGGCAGGUCUCU